Molecule: ribosomal RNA, 572 nt
Filed under: uncultured bacterium
Lineage: Bacteria
Description: bacterial SSU rRNA
Rfam family: Bacterial small subunit ribosomal RNA
Source: RNAcentral
ACGGGUGAGUAACACGUGGGCAACCUGCCCUUGAGACUGGGAUAACUUCGGGAAACCGGAGCUAAUACCGGAUAAUAUAAGGAACCUCCUGGUUCCUUAUUGAAAGAUGGUUUCGGCUAUCACUUAGGGAUGGGCCCGCGGCGCAUUAGCUAGUUGGUGAGGUAACGGCUCACCAAGGCGACGAUGCGUAGCCGACCUGAGAGGGUGAUCGGCCACACUGGGACUGAGACACGGCCCAGACUCCUACGGGGGGCAGCAGUAGGGAAUCUUCCACAAUGGACGAAAGUCUGAUGGAGCAACGCCGCGUGAGUGAUGAAGGCCUUCGGGUCGUAAAGCUCUGUUGUUAGGGAAGAACAAGUGCGAGAGUAACUGCUCGCACCUUGACGGUACCUAACCAGAAAGCCACGGCUAACUACGUGCCAGCAGCCGCGGUAAUACGUAGGUGGCAAGCGUUAUCCGGAAUUAUUGGGCGUAAAGCGCGCGCAGGUGGUUUCUUAAGUCUGAUGUGAAAGCCCACGGCUCAACCGUGGAGGGUCAUCGGAAACUGGGGAACUUGAGUGCAGAAGAGGAAA